This 572-nucleotide ribosomal RNA is filed under the name uncultured bacterium. RNAcentral describes it as "bacterial SSU rRNA". It matches the Rfam family "Bacterial small subunit ribosomal RNA", at positions 257 to 827 of the family's 1533-position model. The record is from RNAcentral.
GUAACGGACCACCAAUCCGUCGAUGCGUAGGGGUUCUGAGAGGAAGGCCCCCCACACUGGUACUGAGACACGGACCAGACUCCUACGGGAGGCAGCAGUGAGGAAUAUUGGUCAAUGGGCGGGAGCCUGAACCAGCCAAGUCGCGUGAGGGAAGAAGGUACUGAGUAUUGUAAACCUCUUUUGCCAGGGGACAAAGGCGGCCACGGGUGGCCGUAAGAGGGUACCUGGAGAAAAAGCAUCGGCUAACUCCGUGCCAGCAGCCGCGGUAAUACGGAGGAUGCGAGCGUUAUCCGGAUUUAUUGGGUUUAAAGGGUGCGCAGGCGGCGUGUCAAGUCAGCGGUAAAAUGUCGGGGCUCAACCCCGGCCGGCCGUUGAAACUGGCGUGCUCGAGUUGGAGAGAAGUGUGCGGAAUUCGUGGUGUAGCGGUGAAAUGCAUAGAUAUCACGAAGAACCCCGAUUGCGAAGGCAGCAUACCGGCUCCACACUGACGCUGAGGCACGAAAGCGUGGGUAUCGAACAGGAUUAGAUACCCUGGUAGUCCACGCAGUAAACGAUGAAUGCUAGGUGUCCGG